UAAGGAAUAUUGGUCAAUGGACGCAAGUCUGAACCAGCCAUGCCGCGUGAAGGAUGAAGGUCCUCUGGAUUGUAAACUUCUUUUAUCUGGGACGAAAACGGGAUUUUUAUCUCAAUUGACGGUACCAGAGGAAUAAGCACCGGCUAACUCCGUGCCAGCAGCCGCGGUAAUACGGAGGGUGCGAGCGUUAUCCGGAUUUACUGGGUUUAAAGGGUGCGUAGGUGGGCUUAUAAGUCAGUGGUGAAAUCUCCGAGCCUAACUUGGAAACUGCCGUUGAUACUAUAGGUCUUGAAUUAUCUGGAGGUAAGCGGAAUAUGUCAUGUCGCGGUGAAAUGCUUAGAUAUGACAUAGAACACCAAUUGCGAAGGCAGCUUACUACAUAUAAAUUGACGCUGAGGCACGAAAGCGUGGGGAUCAAACA
Molecule: ribosomal RNA, 421 nt
Filed under: uncultured bacterium
Lineage: Bacteria
Description: bacterial SSU rRNA
Rfam family: Bacterial small subunit ribosomal RNA
Source: RNAcentral